UUUUGCUCUUGGCCCCUUGCUCAUAAAAAGUACUACUGCAGGUUGGGCUGCUGCAGAAGCAGGCUCUGAGAUAGAAUCUAGUGUGCAGGAUAUUUAUAAGGAGGGUCCUUGGGAUCUAUGCAUUCCACAGGAAGAGACUAAGGCAGAACUGGGUAGAGGAAGAAGUUGAAAUGUGGUGCAGGCCCAGUGACGGCCUGGCUGAGCUCAUGAGAGCUCUUGAGCUAGAAUGGUCUUGCUAGAGUUGAGCCAGAUGGCAAGGUCUUCUUACUCCAAAGCUAUUAGUCACUAGAUAUGGGCUGCCCAGGAGGGGCUUGAUCAUGAGCAAGGCAGCUUGCCUGAAGGGAUGGCAGCUGAAGGCUGUCUGUUGACAGACUUCCAGCAGCUGGGACAACAAGCUCUUAUUUCAGGGAGGUCUGGGUGGUGUAUCUCAGUGUCCCACACAUGAACAUUACUUUGGAAUGAGUGUUUCCACAGCACAGGAGCCCAGCAUGAGGGAUGUACAGGAAAAUCUGCAGGCCUGGGUGUCAGCCCUGAGUCAGGACUCUGACUCUGUUGCUUCUUAGCUGUGGGACCAUGGUUGCAUGAUCAAGCUGACUUGAGGGUUCUGAACAGAAGCUGACCAGUCUACUGCACAUUGUAAAGAAGUUAAAAAGCUGGAUUGAAUUGCAAAAUGUACUACUCAAGGAGUCCAAAGAAUAAAAUAUGAGCAGCUUGUGGGGGUAAAGCAUUCGUAGGUAUAGUAUAGAAAAGGUCCAUGAGCAUCAUGUCAGUGUCUUUUAACUUUCCAUUGCAGUGGAAUAAUCCUUUAUGCGUUUAUGAAAAUCUUUGGAAAAGAAGCCACGUCACUGGGUGGUUCCUACUUAUUUUCCUCUCCAGGGGCCUUUGCUGCUCUUGCUGGGUGCCUCAGUUGCUAGCUUUGUGAGUAGUAAUGCCCCACUGUUCCCAGCUCCUUGCUUGCUGGGUGUGAGGACAGAGGCUAUCAUAGCAAUAAUUGCUGGAUGUUCUGUGUUUGCACAUCUGUGGUGGCCUUCUGAAUUGAGUUUCGUGCCAGAGCCAGGCAGCGCCUCCCUACCCCACCCUCCCACUGCCCCUUUAUUUUCUGUGUCACACCAUUAAAAGAAAUGAGAUUAUGGCACAAAUCAUCAUUCAUAUGACUCUAGCAUAGAAGGUUAGCGAGAUAUUGCAGAGAUAAUUCCAUAGCCACCAUGGCCCCUGACAAUAAUUACAAUGUGGCCACAGGGGA
Molecule: long non-coding RNA, 1243 nt
Filed under: Homo sapiens (human)
Lineage: Eukaryota; Metazoa; Chordata; Mammalia; Primates; Hominidae
Description: HSALNT0327349
Source: RNAcentral